RNAcentral lists this transfer RNA (70 nucleotides) under Cavia porcellus (domestic guinea pig). It matches the Rfam family "tRNA". From Rfam's summary of the family: Transfer RNA (tRNA) molecules are approximately 80 nucleotides in length. Their secondary structure includes four short double-helical elements and three loops (D, anti-codon, and T loops). Lineage: Eukaryota; Metazoa; Chordata; Mammalia; Rodentia; Caviidae. The record is from Rfam by way of RNAcentral.
GGCAGUGUAGCUCAGUAGCAGAGCACCUGCCUCACGGGCACAAGAGCCUGAGUUCAAUCCCCAGCACCCA